CCUACGGGUGACCGCAGUUAGGAAUAUUGGUCAAUGGGCGCAGGCCUGAACCAGCCAAGUCGCGUGAGGGACGACUUCCCUAUGGGUUGUAAACCUCUUUUAUAAGGUAAGCAUAAUGACUACGUGUAUUUAGAUGCCCGUACCUUAUGCAUAAGCAUCGGCUAACUCCGUGCCAGCAGCCGCUGUCAUACGGAGGCUGCGAUCGUUCUCCGGAUUUAUUGGGUUUAAAGUGUGCGUAGGCGGUAUUUUAAGUUAGUGGUAAAACGUCGGGGCUUCACCUUGAUUGGCCAUUAAAACUGGAGUACUAGAGUACAGACGAGGUAGGCGGAAUAAGUUAAGUAGCGGUGAAAUGCUUAGAUAUAACUUAGAACCCCGAUAGCGAAGGCAGCUUACCAGACUGUUACUGACGCUGAAGCACGAGAGCGUGGGUAGCGAACAGGAUUAGAUACCCCAGUAGUC
Molecule: ribosomal RNA, 459 nt
Filed under: uncultured bacterium
Lineage: Bacteria
Description: partial 16S ribosomal RNA
Rfam family: Bacterial small subunit ribosomal RNA
Source: RNAcentral